AAGAACAAUUAAAAAAGAAAAGAAAUAAAUGCUCAGAGUCAGAAUGUAAUGUUAACGUAAAAUAGUGUAACUCACAUUUACACAUUGUUUGGUUGAAGUGAAAGUAAGAGGAAAGAAACUUGGAGAAGAGAAAACACUAAUUCCAAAACACUUUUCAAUAAUUGGAAAAGUAGAAGAAAAUUGGAAGAAAAGAAUGAUUCAGAUGUCGGACCCACAAAAAAGCUUUCUUCUGAUUAAUGGAGAGAAAGCUCGCUGGCC
This 258-nucleotide long non-coding RNA is filed under the name Cicer arietinum (chickpea). RNAcentral describes it as "long non-coding RNA (CARI_LNC000513)". Lineage: Eukaryota; Viridiplantae; Streptophyta; Magnoliopsida; Fabales; Fabaceae. The record is from RNAcentral.